This is a long non-coding RNA of Bos taurus (domestic cattle), 697 nucleotides long. NCBI's taxonomy places the organism in Eukaryota, Metazoa, Chordata, Mammalia, Artiodactyla, Bovidae. The record is from Ensembl.
GGGGCAAGUAUGUAAGAAGGCCAGACAGGUACACAUUGCUGUUUAAAAUGGAUAACCAACAAGGACUUACAGUAGAGCGCAUGGAACUCUGCUCAGUGUUAUGUGGCAGCCUGGACGGGAGUGGAGUUGGGGGAGAAUGGAUACAUGUAUAUGUAUGGUUGAGUCCCUUCGCUGUUCACCCGAAACUAUCACAACAUUGUUAAAUUAAUAUACCCCAAUACAAAAAGUUUUUUUUUAAGUCCUGAUUCUGUACCUUUAAAACUUAUUAAAUUAUGGGUGUCUGGGGACUUUCUAAUCUCAUUAAUAUGCCUAUUUCUGCCUAGGGUCACUCUAUAUAAGAAUUAUAUCUAUAAAAUGUAAAAAUACAUUUUAAUUUCUAAAAAUUCACGUCUUCCUUCAUAAGAUUCAUUUUCAAAAUUUCUUGGACUUCCCUGGUGAUCCAGCGGUUAAUAAUCCACCUGCCAAGGCAGGGAACAUGGGUUUAAUCGCUGGUCCAGGAAGAUUUCACAUGAAUGUUGGGAACUAAGCCCCUGUACCACAACUACUGAGCCAGUACCCCUAGGGCCUUUGAGCCACAACAAGGGGACCUACCACAAUGACAAGCCCGUACACUGCAACUGGAGAGUAGCCCCCACUCCCCACAACUAAAGGAAGCCUAGGCAAAACAGCAAAGACCAGAGCAGCCAAAAAAUAAAUG